GAUGAACGCUGGCGGCGUGCCUAAUACAUGCAAGUCGAGCGAACAGACGAGGAGCUUGCUCCUCUGACGUUAGCGGCGGACGGGUGAGUAACACGUGGAUAACCUACCUAUAAGACUGGGAUAACUUCGGGAAACCGGAGCUAAUACCGGAUAAUAUAUUGAACCGCAUGGUUCAAUAGUGAAAGACGGUUUUGCUGUCACUUAUAGAUGGAUCCGCGCCGCAUUAGCUAGUUGGUAAGGUAACGGCUUACCAAGGCAACGAUGCGUAGCCGACCUGAGAGGGUGAUCGGCCACACUGGAACUGAGACACGGUCCAGACUCCUACGGGAGGCAGCAGUAGGGAAUCUUCCGCAAUGGACGAAAGCCUGACGGAGCAACGCCGCGUGAGUGAUGAAGGUCUUCGGAUCGUAAAACUCUGUUAUUAGGGAAGAACAAAUGUGUAAGUAAAUAUGCACGUCUUGACGGUACCUAAUCAGAAAGCCACGGCUAACUACGUG
This 497-nucleotide ribosomal RNA is filed under the name uncultured bacterium. Its description in RNAcentral is "partial 16S ribosomal RNA". It matches the Rfam family "Bacterial small subunit ribosomal RNA", at positions 28 to 507 of the family's 1533-position model. The record is from RNAcentral.